GUGAAUUGUAAUGGGGGUUUGAUGCUGGCUGCCAUUUCUUGGCUGCAUGUGCUUGCCCCCAAGCAAAUCCUUUUCCAAACACCUGUGCACCUUGUGAGAAUGUUAGGGGGGGAAUCUUUGCCCUCCUUUGUCUCAUGAUUCAUAAACGCUGUUUGUAAUGUUGAAUGCGUUUGUGCCGUCAAGGCUUUAACAUAAUA
This 197-nucleotide unclassified non-coding RNA is filed under the name uncultured Agaricales. Its description in RNAcentral is "sequence contains ITS1". Lineage: Eukaryota; Fungi; Basidiomycota; Agaricomycetes; Agaricales. The record is from RNAcentral.